This 97-nucleotide signal recognition particle RNA is filed under the name Gammaproteobacteria bacterium. RNAcentral's name for it is "signal recognition particle sRNA small type". It matches the Rfam family "Bacterial small signal recognition particle RNA". Rfam says of the family: The signal recognition particle (SRP) is a universally conserved ribonucleoprotein involved in the co-translational targeting of proteins to membranes. Archaeal SRP consists of a 7S RNA and homologues of the eukaryotic SRP19 and SRP54 proteins. The record is from RNAcentral. Lineage: Bacteria; Pseudomonadati; Pseudomonadota; Gammaproteobacteria. RNAcentral also lists the same sequence under 1 other name.
CGCUGGUCCCCUCGCGGCGGCUAGUCGUGAACCCCGUCAGGUCCGGAAGGAAGCAGCGGUAACGGUGAUGCCGGGCGCCGGGGUGUGGCUGGCGCGG